This 461-nucleotide ribosomal RNA is filed under the name uncultured bacterium. RNAcentral's name for it is "bacterial SSU rRNA". It matches the Rfam family "Bacterial small subunit ribosomal RNA", at positions 926 to 1391 of the family's 1533-position model. The record is from RNAcentral.
CAAGCGGUGGAUGAUGUGGAUUAAUUCGAUGCAACGCGAAAAACCUUACCUACCCUUGACAUGUACGGAAGGCCGGAGAGAUUUGGCUGUGCUCGAAAGAGAACCGUAACACAGGUGCUGCAUGGCUGUCGUCAGCUCGUGUCGUGAGAUGUUGGGUUAAGUCCCGCAACGAGCGCAACCCUUGUCAUUAGUUGCUACGAAAGGGCACUCUAAUGAGACUGCCGGUGACAAACCGGAGGAAGGUGGGGAUGACGUCAAGUCCUCAUGGCCCUUAUGGGUAGGGCUUCACACGUCAUACAAUGGUACAUACAGAGCGCCGCCAACCCGCGAGGGGGAGCUAGUCGCAGAAAGUGUAUCGUAGUCCGGAUUGUAGUCUGCAACUCGACUACAUGAAGUUGGAAUCGCUAGUAAUCGCGGAUCAGCAUGUCGCGGUGAAUACGUUCCCGGGUCUUGUACACACC